Molecule: ribosomal RNA, 524 nt
Filed under: uncultured bacterium
Lineage: Bacteria
Description: bacterial SSU rRNA
Rfam family: Bacterial small subunit ribosomal RNA
Source: RNAcentral
AUGAACGUUGGCGGCGUGCCUAAUACAUGCAAGUCGAACGGGAAGGGGUCCUUCGGGGUUCUGGAGAGUGGCGCACGGGUGAGUAACACGUAACUGAUCUGCCCUGUAGACUGGGAUAACCUUUGGAAACAGAGGCUAAUACCGGAUGAGUUCGCGUUAGUUAGAGAUGCGCGAGGGAAUGUUUAGGCGCUACGGGAUGAGGUUGCGGGCCAUCAGCUGGUCGGUGGGGUAAAGGCUCACCGAGGCGAUGACGGCUAGGGGAUCUGAGAGGGUGGCCCCCCACACUGGGACUGAGACACGGCCCAGACUCCUACGGGAGGCAGCAGUAAGGGAUAUUGCGCAAUGGACGGAAGUCUGACGCAGCGACGCCGCGUGGGUGAAGAAGGUUUUCGGGAUCGUAAAGCCCUUUUCCAGGUGACGAGAGAGGACGGUAGCCUGGGAAUAAGUGUCGGCUAACUACGUGCCAGCAGCCGCGGUAAAACGUAGGACACGAACGUUAUCCGGAGUUACUGGGCGUAAAACCC